AGCAGUAGCCGCGGUAAUACGUAGGGUGCGAGCGUUAAUCGGAAUUACUGGGCGUAAAGCGUGCGCAGGCGGUUGUGUAAGACAGGUGUGAAAUCCCCGGGCUCAACCUGGGAAUGGCAGUGGAUACUGGCUCGCUAGAGUGUGUCAGAGGAUGGUGGAAUUCCCGGUGUAGCGGUGAAAUGCGUAGAGAUCGGGAGGAACAUCAGUGGCGAAGGCGGCCAUCUGGGACAACACUGACGCUGAGGCACGAAAGCGUGGGGAGCAAACAGGAUUAGAUACCCCGGUAGUCCCUGUCUCUUAUAC
This 303-nucleotide ribosomal RNA is filed under the name uncultured bacterium. RNAcentral's name for it is "partial 16S ribosomal RNA". It matches the Rfam family "Bacterial small subunit ribosomal RNA", at positions 507 to 807 of the family's 1533-position model. The record is from RNAcentral.